UGAUUCUGUGGAAGCUCAGUUCCAUCACAGUGAUUCUCUGGAAGCUCAGUUCCAUGGGUUUGAACAGCGUUUGGAGGGGAUUGGAGGGGAUGAAGGAACCGGUUCUUGUUCCUGAUUUCAGGGAUUAGUCGGGUCUUUAGGGCUCGGAUGACCUGAGUCAUUAAAAAAAAAUUAUUUUGAUUUUUUCUUUUAACAUUUCCCAGAUUGAUCAGUUUAUGAAAAAAAUAUGCAUAGGGACUACGACAUCUAAUUUUCUUUUUGUGAUGUUUGUUAUUGCUGUGACGUUUCCAAUACUACAAUUUAGUUUGAAUACCUGUCUGUAUAAAAACUGAGGACCAAAUUCCACCGUGUAUUGGUAGUUUUGGUACCAACACUAAAAGGCCUGUUUAAUAUUCGUCAUUUUUGUACAUAUCUGUAAAGUAUAGUUGAAAAAAAUCAAAUAAACGUCAAAACCAUGACUGACCUAAACAAACUAAGUUAGCCAAAAAUCAAGCCUCCCACAGGUUUAGAUUAGGCUGGGCUUAAGUUAAUCGACUAUGUUUAUUUUGUUGUGAAUAAAAUGUGAGGUUGAAGAUUUGUGCUUAUUUAUUUUAUAUGUAUAUUCGAUGGGAAAAAAGAGAAAUGAGAUGUCUACUUUAAUAUAUAUAUAAAAGGUGAGGUUGAAGAAUUGUGUUUAUUUAUUUUAUAUGUAUAUUCUGAUCGAUGGGAAAAAUGAGAAAUGAGAUGUUGACUUUAAUUUAAUAUAUAUAUGUAGUACGUGAGAGAGAGAGUCAAAGAUGAAUCAUUUUAUUUUCUUCUUAAGUUACAAAAUUAGGAAAGGGGACCAUCACUAUUUAUAGUGGUGUGGAAGUCGGUUGAUCAAAUCAACCAGAAGAAAAGGACAAAACCAAAAAGAUGAUGAUGCACAAAUGAACCAAGAAGAGGACAAGUGUAAUGUAAUGACAACAUAUGACAUAGACAUCUGUCCACUAGAUGAAUCAUCAAUUGCAACACUCCCCCU
RNAcentral lists this long non-coding RNA (1000 nucleotides) under Brassica napus (rape). Its description in RNAcentral is "long non-coding RNA (BNAP_LNC012706)". The record is from RNAcentral. Lineage: Eukaryota; Viridiplantae; Streptophyta; Magnoliopsida; Brassicales; Brassicaceae.